Molecule: unclassified non-coding RNA, 375 nt
Filed under: uncultured bacterium
Lineage: Bacteria
Description: contains 16S-23S intergenic spacer region
Source: RNAcentral
UCCGGUUUGACACCGGCAGUCUCCUAUGAGUCCCCGACAUUACUCGCUGGCAACAUAGGACAGGGGUUGCGCUCGUUAUAGGACUUAACCUGACACCUCACGGCACGAGCUGACGACAACCAUGCAGCACCUUGUAACUUGCCCGAAGGAAAAGCUGUUUCCAGCCCUGUCAAGCUACAUUUAAGCCCUGGUAAGGUUCCUCGCGUAUCAUCGAAUUAAACCACAUGCUCCACCGCUUGUGCGGGCCCCGUCAAUUCCUUUGAGUUUUAGCCUUGCGGCCGUAGUCCCCAGGCGGGGUGCUUAACGCGUUAGCUACGGCACGGAAAACAUGAAUGCUCCCCACACCUAGCGCCCAACGUUUACGGCGUGGACUAC